GGGGCGGUAGCUCAGCUUGGUUAGAGCGCCUGCCUGUCACGCAGGAGGUCGCGGGUUCGAGUCCCGUCCGCCCCGCC
RNAcentral lists this transfer RNA (77 nucleotides) under Anaerolineae bacterium. RNAcentral's name for it is "tRNA-Asp". It matches the Rfam family "tRNA". Rfam says of the family: Transfer RNA (tRNA) molecules are approximately 80 nucleotides in length. Their secondary structure includes four short double-helical elements and three loops (D, anti-codon, and T loops). The record is from RNAcentral. Lineage: Bacteria; Bacillati; Chloroflexota; Anaerolineae.